Long non-coding RNA from Nematostella vectensis (starlet sea anemone), 653 nucleotides. RefSeq lists it as uncharacterized. Lineage: Eukaryota; Metazoa; Cnidaria; Anthozoa; Actiniaria; Edwardsiidae. The record is from RefSeq and is a predicted model, not a curated record. The transcript has 2 exons.
GAGGAAUCGUACAUAGAGAGAUAUAAAAGAAGAGGAAUCGUACAUAGAGAGGUAUAGAAGAAGAGGAAUCGUACAUAGACAGGUAUAAAAGAAGAGGAAUCGUACAUAGAAGAGGAAUCGUAAAUGGACAGGUAUAAAACAAGAGCAAUAGUACAUAGAAGAGCAAUCGUACAUAAAAAGGUAUAAAAGAAGAGGAAUCGUACAUAGAGAGGUAUAGAAGAAGAGGAAUCGUACAUAGACAGGUAUAAAAGAAGAGGAAUCGUACAUAGAAGAGGAAUCGUAAAUGGACAGGUAUAAAACAAGAGCAAUAGUACAUAGAAGAGCAAUCGUACAUAGACAGGUAUAAAAGAAGAGGAAUCGUACAUAGAAGAGGAAUCGUAAAUGGACAGGUAUAAAACAAGAGCAAUAGUACAUAGAAGAGCAAUCGUACAUAAAAAGGUAUAAAAGAAGAGGAAUCGUACAUAGAGAGGUAUAGAAGAAGAGGAAUCGUACAUAGACAGGUAUAAAAGAAGAGGAAUCGUACAUAGAAGAGGAAUCGUAAAUGGACAGGUAUAAAACAAGAGCAAUAGUACAUAGAAGAGCAAUCGUACAUAAAAAGGUAUAAAAGAAGAGGAAUCGUACAUAGAGAGGUAUAAAAGAAGAGGAAUCGUACA